GAGUUUGAUCGUGGCUCAGAGUGAACGCUGGCGGCAGGCCUAACACAUGCAAGUCGAACGGCAGCACAGCAGUAGCAAUACUGUGGGUGGCGAGUGGCGGACGGGUGAGGAAUACAUGGGAAUCUGCCCUGUCGUGGGGGAUAACGUAGGGAAACUUACGCUAAUACCGCAUACGACCGAGAGGUGAAAGCGGCGGACCGCAAGGCGUCGCGCGAUUGGAUGAGCCCAUGUCGGAUUAGCUAGUUGGCGGGGUAAAGGCCCACCAAGGCGACGAUCCGUAGCUGGUCUGAGAGGAUGAUCAGCCACACUGGAACUGAGACGCGGUCCAGACUCCUACGGGAGGCAGCAGUGGGGAAUAUUGGACAAUGGGCGCAAGCCUGGUCCAGCCAUGCCGCGUGAGUGAAGAAGGCCUUC
Molecule: ribosomal RNA, 414 nt
Filed under: uncultured Gammaproteobacteria bacterium
Lineage: Bacteria; Pseudomonadati; Pseudomonadota; Gammaproteobacteria
Description: bacterial SSU rRNA
Rfam family: Bacterial small subunit ribosomal RNA
Source: RNAcentral